UACAGAGACUGCAAGCGUUAUUCGGAUUCACUGGGCGUAAAGGGUGCGCAGGCGGUCGGGUGUGUCAGAUGUGAAAUCCCGAGGCUUAACCUCGGAACUGCGUCUGAAACUACUCGACUAGAGUACUGGAGAGGGUAACGGAAUUCACGGUGUAGCAGUGAAAUGCGUAGAUAUCUGGAGGAAUACCGGUGGCGAAGGCGGCAUCCUGGACCGGCAUUGACGCUGAGGAGCGAAAGCUAGGGGAGCAAACGGG
This 253-nucleotide ribosomal RNA is filed under the name uncultured bacterium. RNAcentral describes it as "partial 16S ribosomal RNA". It matches the Rfam family "Bacterial small subunit ribosomal RNA", at positions 524 to 776 of the family's 1533-position model. The record is from RNAcentral.